UGCCAGGAAGUGGUGCUAUGUUGGCAGCAGCAUAUACCAUCCCCAAGGAAGCUGAAUCUGAGUAAGUGGGAGAUGACAGAGCCAACGCACUGCCUGUGUUAGGGGAGCAACAAAACCCCGAUAGCGAUAUAAAUUAUUGGAACAGUGCUCAUCUGGGGAACUGCAGACAGACAAAGCAGCUCUGAGGAAAUGCAUCCCUGUCAACAGACGUUUGUUUCAGCUGAGGCUUGAAUAACAGCAGAAAUGAAAAACAGAGUAAUCUGGUGAGGAGAAAAUGAACUGCAGUCACGGCAUUUGGGUAGCCAUUAAAGGCACUCACUCUGAUUUGAAUGAAGGAUAUUUCAAUCAGCAGCUGAGUGACACUUUGAUGGGUGUGGAUGAAGUUGUUUUAGGAGUUUUUGCCUUUUCGAGACACGGAGAGGAGGAGUAUGCCCUGUGUGUUCUCGAUGAUGGGAGCACCCGAAGAAAGUUUCCUUCUCCAAAGCUUUUACAUUUGAAUGACCCGUCAUAGUUUUUGGAUGAAGUGUAGUCAACUUGUUUCAUUUUAUUCUUUACCUGGCUUAAUGAAAUUGAAGAGAACACAAAAGCCAGGUAUAGAUUUUCAUAAAAAUGAACCAAGAGUUGUCAAAAAUUAUAAAUAUGAGUAGGAUGCCAAAAAAAGAACUAUCUCAUAGACAUAGAUAAAAAGAUUAAAUGUGUAUGGAAG
RNAcentral lists this long non-coding RNA (706 nucleotides) under Meleagris gallopavo (turkey). RNAcentral describes it as "lncRNA (ENSMGAG00000022847.1)". The record is from RNAcentral. Lineage: Eukaryota; Metazoa; Chordata; Aves; Galliformes; Phasianidae.